RNAcentral lists this long non-coding RNA (1092 nucleotides) under Oryctolagus cuniculus (rabbit). RNAcentral describes it as "lncRNA (ENSOCUG00000030791.1)". The record is from RNAcentral. Lineage: Eukaryota; Metazoa; Chordata; Mammalia; Lagomorpha; Leporidae.
AUCCGGAGAGAGUCUGGGCGUUCUCGCCCGGCUGGCUGUGUGCUGCCUGGGUCUAAGGUACAGGAGCAGUCAUCGCGAGCGAUCGUCUUCAGAAACUUCAGAACUUACCCAACAGCGAAGACACGGGAAGAGGGGAGGAAGGGCCCGCGUCGGGGGCGACGGAAAGCACGGCUGCGCAGCCGGGGAGGGGCGGCGAGGAACCGGGAGACUCGAAUUCCUUCCCCCGGAGCUGCUGAGCAAGGGGUGUCCGCGAGUCCCCCCGCGCCCCGAGAGCCGGGCCGGGCCGCCCCUUCCAGCUGCGCUCCGAGGCCCGGGCGCCGCGAGAGCCGCGUUCCAGGCGCUCCCGCUGCGCGCUGGGGUUCGGCCCCCGGGAGCGCUCAGCGCCGGCCCCUGCCCUGCCGCCGCCGCCGCCGCCCCUGCUGCGGCUUCGAGCCCGUGGCCGGGUACAGGCAACCGCCAGCGCUGCUGGGCAUCUUUUCACCUCUGCCGCGGGCGCGCCCGGCGACCCGUCAUUUGUACAUCCACAGCGAACGCAGCUCCCCCUUUCUUCUCGGCCGCUCGGGGGUCGGGCAGGAGCAGCGCGCGGUCCCCGCGUGCCCUCCCCUCAGCAUGCCAGGGCAGGGGGCUGGCUGUCGGCCGGCGGCCCGGCUCGGAAGCCCACUCGGGCGCCCCCGUUAUCUCUGCUUUUAUGGUCCCGUGUCACUUUCACUUUGUAAUCCACCAGGCUUUUGUUUGUUAGUUUGUUUGUUGGGGCGGGAGGUAGUCGGCCCCCCUCAGUCGCAGCUUCACCGCGGGCGCCCUCCGCGGCUCCGGACGGCGCCUGUCAGCGCGCUCUCUCCUCCUCGCCUGCCCGGGGCCGAAGGUGGAAACGCUGUGGCGCUGGAGCUCGCCGCCGAGCCCCCUCGCAGGCUGCGCCGAGUCCCUCCCGCUCUCCCCGCCCCUUCCCCGCUGCGCGCACACGCACACACACGCGCGCACACACCACACACUCACACACACACGCACACCGCGCGUCGCCCCCAACACAAACAGAGGGGGCGGGAAGGCCGCGAGCCGCCGCGGGACUCAGAAACUUUGCUCGCCACUCAUUGA